UGGGGAAUAUUGCGCAAUGGGGGAAACCCUGACGCAGCGACGCCGCGUGGGUGAUGAAGGCCUUCGGGUCGUAAAGCCCUGUCGGAGGGGAAGAAGGACUCUCGUGCAAAUAGUUCGAGGGUUUGACGGUACCCUUAGAGGAAGCACCGGCUAACUCCGUGCCAGCAGCCGCGGUAAUACGGAGGGUGCAAGCGUUGCUCGGAAUUACUGGGCGUAAAGGGCGUGUAGGCGGUUUCGUAUGUCUGGCGUGAAAGCCCCGGGCUCACCUCGGGAAGUGCGUCGGAAACUGCGAGACUAGAGUCCCGGAGAGGGAGGUGGAAUUCCAGGUGUAGCGGUGAAAUGCGUAGAUAUCUGGAAGAACACCGGUGGCGAAAGCGGCCUCCUGGACGGUGACUGACGCUGAGACGCGAAAGCGUGGGGAGCAAACA
RNAcentral lists this ribosomal RNA (428 nucleotides) under uncultured Pseudomonadota bacterium. RNAcentral describes it as "uncultured proteobacterium partial 16S ribosomal RNA". It matches the Rfam family "Bacterial small subunit ribosomal RNA", at positions 355 to 774 of the family's 1533-position model. The record is from RNAcentral. Lineage: Bacteria; Pseudomonadati; Pseudomonadota.